Molecule: long non-coding RNA, 134 nt
Organism: Bradysia coprophila
Lineage: Eukaryota; Metazoa; Arthropoda; Insecta; Diptera; Sciaridae
Source: RefSeq, a predicted model, not a curated record
UUCACAACAUAUAUAAGAUCCAAAUUGCUUCGUCAUCAUCUGCGACUUAUUCCAUUUCGUUUUCGUACAGUCUUAUUUUCCCAGUCACUUCGGUUGAAGUAUUUCAUAGCUCCGUACAAUGGACCUAUGCAGAU